Molecule: ribosomal RNA, 795 nt
Filed under: uncultured Pelagibacteraceae bacterium
Lineage: Bacteria; Pseudomonadati; Pseudomonadota; Alphaproteobacteria; Candidatus Pelagibacterales; Candidatus Pelagibacteraceae
Description: bacterial SSU rRNA
Rfam family: Bacterial small subunit ribosomal RNA
Source: RNAcentral
CGCCUAACACAUGCAAGUCGAACGAAGUAGCAAUACUUAGUGGCAGACGGGUGAGUAACAUGUAGGUAUCUGCCCUUUGGCCUGGAAUAACACGAGGAAACUUGUGCUAAUACCGGAUAAGUCUUUACGGAGAAAGCUUUAUGCACCAUUGGAUGAGCCUGCACUUGAUUAGUUUGUUGGUGGGGUAAUGGCCUACCAAGACUGUGAUCAAUAGCUGAUUUGAGAGGAUGAUCAGCCACAUUGGGACUGAGACACGGCCCAAACUCCUACGGGAGGCAGCAGUGGGGAAUCUUGCACAAUGGAGGAAACUCUGAUGCAGCGAUGCCGCGUGAGUGAAGAAGGCCCUUGGGUUGUAAAGCUCUUUCGUCGGGGAAGAAAAUGACUGUACCCGAAUAAGAAGGUCCGGCUAACUUCGUGCCAGCAGCCGCGGUAAUACGAAGGGACCUAGCGUAGUUCGGAAUUACUGGGCUUAAAGAGUUCGUAGGUGGUUAAAAAAGUUGGUGGUGAAAUCCCAGAGCUUAACUCUGGAACUGCCAUCAAAACUUUUUAGCUAGAGUAUGAUAGAGGAAAGCAGAAUUUCUAGUGUAGAGGUGAAAUUCGUAGAUAUUAGAAAGAAUACCAAUUGCGAAGGCAGCUUUCUGGAUCAUUACUGACACUGAGGAACGAAAGCAUGGGUAGCGAAGAGGAUUAGAUACCCUCGUAGUCCAUGCCGUAAACGAUGUGUGUUAGACGUUGGAAAUUUAUUUUCAGUGUCGCAGCGAAAGCGAUAAACACACCGCCUGGGGAGUACGACCG